UACGGAGGGUGCAAGCGUUAAUCGGAAUUACUGGGCGUAAAGCGCACGCAGGUGGCUGAGUGAGUCGAGUGUGAAAGCCCCCGGCUCAACUGGGGAGGGUCACUCGAUACUGAUCGACUUGAAGGCAGGAGAGGGAAGCGGAAUUCCCGGUGUAGUGGUGAAAUGCGUAGAUAUCGGGAGGAACACCAGUGGCGAAGGCGGCUUCCUGGCCUGUUCUUGACGCUGAGGCGCGAAAGCUAGGGGAGCAAACGGG
RNAcentral lists this ribosomal RNA (253 nucleotides) under uncultured bacterium. Its description in RNAcentral is "partial 16S ribosomal RNA". It matches the Rfam family "Bacterial small subunit ribosomal RNA", at positions 524 to 776 of the family's 1533-position model. The record is from RNAcentral.